Molecule: ribosomal RNA, 496 nt
Filed under: uncultured bacterium
Lineage: Bacteria
Description: partial 16S ribosomal RNA
Rfam family: Bacterial small subunit ribosomal RNA
Source: RNAcentral
GAUGAACGCUGGCGGCGUGCCUAAUACAUGCAAGUCGAGCGAACAGAUGAGGAGCUUGCUCCUCUGACGUUAGCGGCGGACGGGUGAGUAACACGUGGAUAACCUACCUAUAAGACUGGGAUAACUUCGGGAAACCGGAGCUAAUACCGGAUAAUAUAUUGAACCGCAUGGUUCAAUAGUGAAAGACGGUUUUGCUGUCACUUAUAGAUGGAUCCGCGCCGCAUUAGCUAGUUGGUAAGGUAACGGCUUACCAAGGCAACGAUGCGUAGCCGACCUGAGAGGGGGUUCGGCCACACUGGAACUGAGACACGGUCCAGACUCCUACGGGAGGCAGCAGUAGGGAAUCUUCCGCAAUGGGCGAAAGCCUGACGGAGCAACGCCGCGUGAGUGAUGAAGGUCUUCGGAUCGUAAAACUCUGUUAUUAGGGAAGAACAAAUGUGUAAGUAACGAUGCACGUCUGGACGGUACCUAAGCAGAAAGCCACGGCUAACUACGU